AAGCAUGCACUUGUGAACAGAGUGACACCCCCUGGUGGAUGAGAGAAGAUGUGCAGAAGCUGGCUUGGCUAAAUUGUCGCACAAAGCACUGAUGCAGGCUGAAGCUAUGCUCAGAUGACCAGAUGGCAAAAUUGGAGUUCUAUCGGUUUUGUAUGAAAUAUCAGCGGUUGCUCAGAGAAGCGCGAGAGACCUAUCGGGUGACAAAUUUUGAAGAGCUCUUGCAUAACUACGGUAGUAGUCGUAAGGGCUUUUGGGCAGUUAAUUAACUCGUCCAGUCAGGGGGAGUAUCCUGUGGUGGUUGUUGACAGUUGGAGAGGGUACUUCAGCAACUUAAUUAACCAUGGCAUGACUAGUUCUAGGGAUAAGGAUACAGAGGCUAUCAUGAGCUUCAUUAAUGGCAUUGCCUAGUGGCGAUGGUCGGGGUUGGGAUGUCACUAUGGGUGUGGGGGGGCAACGUGUGGAGUCAGCUGCAGAGCUGAACUCACCAAUCACCCUCAAGGAGGUGGUAUUGCGAUUAAAUCUCUCUGCAACAACAAAUCUGGUGGGCUACCUGUGCAAUGCUAUAAGUACGCCAGGAGAGAGGUGGACAGGCACUCCAUGAAUUUUAUUGCCCCCUUCGUUCAUGGGCUUUUUAAACACAUGCAUAGUACGAAGGGCUACCCUAGCCAGUUUGAAGUGCCUUGCUUGACACCAAAGGCGAUUUGUACAAUAAGAGCAAGUAUCGUGGUCUUGCGGUGGGUGGCGCCCUGGCGAAGUGUUAUGCUCAUGUUUUGGAGCGCCGGUUGAGCAAAUGGGGUGAGGUUGCCAGUUCCUGUUGCAGGGUGGUUUCCAGGCCAAGGUAGGCACCAUACACAACCUACUCUUGCUCUGGCACCUUACUGACCGGCACAGGAAUGGCCCUGACAAUACAUUCCCGCUCUUUGUCUGUCAGGUUGAUUUUGAGAAAGCUUUUAAUCGUGUUCCAAAUCGCCUGCUUUGUCUGAUACUUAAGGAGUACGGUAUACACGGCGCCAUGCUGAAGAC
RNAcentral lists this long non-coding RNA (1023 nucleotides) under Volvox carteri. RNAcentral's name for it is "long non-coding RNA (VCAR_LNC002849)". Lineage: Eukaryota; Viridiplantae; Chlorophyta; Chlorophyceae; Chlamydomonadales; Volvocaceae. The record is from RNAcentral.